Molecule: ribosomal RNA, 273 nt
Filed under: uncultured bacterium
Lineage: Bacteria
Description: partial 16S ribosomal RNA
Rfam family: Bacterial small subunit ribosomal RNA
Source: RNAcentral
GACGGAAGGUGCGAGCGUUGCUCGGAAUCACUGGGCGUAAAGGGUGCGUAGGCGGCUUCUUAAGUCUGGUGUGAAAGCCCAGGGCUCAGCUCUGGAAGUGCACUAGAAACUGGGGAGCUUGAGUACCGGAGGGGAGAGUGGAAUUCCUGGUGUAGCGGUGAAAUGCGUAGAUAUCAGGAGGAAUACCGGUGGCGAAAGCGACUCUCUGGACGGUUACUGACGCUGAGGCACGAAAGCGUGGGGAGCAAACAGGAUUAGAAACCCCCGUAGUCC